RNAcentral lists this ribosomal RNA (511 nucleotides) under Mesorhizobium sp. SCAU670. RNAcentral describes it as "bacterial SSU rRNA". It matches the Rfam family "Bacterial small subunit ribosomal RNA", at positions 129 to 674 of the family's 1533-position model. Lineage: Bacteria; Pseudomonadati; Pseudomonadota; Alphaproteobacteria; Hyphomicrobiales; Phyllobacteriaceae. The record is from RNAcentral.
CCCAUCUCUACGGAACAACUCCGGGAAACUGGAGCUAAUACCGUAUACGUCCUUUUGGAGAAAGAUUUAUCGGAGAUGGAUGAGCCCGCGUUGGAUUAGCUAGUUGGUGGGGUAAUGGCCUACCAAGGCGACGAUCCAUAGCUGGUCUGAGAGGAUGAUCAGCCACACUGGGACUGAGACACGGCCCAGACUCCUACGGGAGGCAGCAGUGGGGAAUAUUGGACAAUGGGCGCAAGCCUGAUCCAGCCAUGCCGCGUGAGUGAUGAAGGCCCUAGGGUUGUAAAGCUCUUUCAACGGUGAAGAUAAUGACGGUAACCGUAAAAGAAGCCCCGGCUAACUUCGUGCCAGCAGCCGCGGUAAUACGAAGGGGGCUAGCGUUGUUCGGAAUUACUGGGCGUAAAGCGCACGUAGGCGGAUACUUAAGUCAGGGGUGAAAUCCCGGGGCUCAACCCCGGAACUGCCUUUGAUACUGGGUAUCUCGAGUCCGGAAGAGGUGAGUGGAAUUCCGAGU